This 529-nucleotide ribosomal RNA is filed under the name uncultured bacterium. RNAcentral describes it as "partial 16S ribosomal RNA". It matches the Rfam family "Bacterial small subunit ribosomal RNA", at positions 899 to 1397 of the family's 1533-position model. The record is from RNAcentral.
ACUCAAAGGAAUUGACGGGGACUUGCACAAGCAGUGGAUUAUGUGGUUUAAUUCGACGGUAAACGAAGAACCUCACCCGGGUUUGAAACCUAGUUGAAGACUAGCGGAAACAUUAGUCGUCUCACAAGGACAAUUAGGCAGGUGAUGCAUGGCCGUCGUCAGUUCGUGGUUUGAAUUGUUCCCUUAAGUGGGGUAACGAACGCAACCCUCGUUGGCUGUUACAAGUGUCAGCCGAGACUGCCCCAGAUUUUGAGUAUAAUUUUUCGAAAGGAAAAUUGUAACCAGGAUCUGGGGAGGAAGGCGAGGAUGACGCCAGGUCAGCAUGUCCCUCUGAUAUCCGGGGCUACACACAUAAUACAAUCGCCGAGACAACGCGACGCAAUAUCGUAAGAUGGAGCAAAUCGUAAUAAACUCGGCGCCAGUUCGGAUUGAGGUCUGCAACUCGACCUCAUGAAGCCGGAAUUGCUAGUAAUCGCAGGUCAGCUAUACUGCGGUGAAUACGUUCUCAAGUCUUGUACACACCGCCCGU